This 397-nucleotide ribosomal RNA is filed under the name uncultured archaeon. RNAcentral's name for it is "bacterial SSU rRNA". It matches the Rfam family "Archaeal small subunit ribosomal RNA", at positions 474 to 871 of the family's 1478-position model. The record is from RNAcentral.
UACCAGCCCCCUGAGUGGUAAGGACGAUUAUUUGGCCUAAAGCGUCCGUAGCCGGCUUGGUCAGUCUUCCGUUAAAUCCGACGAUUCCAUCGUUGGGCCGCGGAAGAUACUACUAGGCUUGAGGACGGGAGAGGUCGACGGUAGUCCCAGGGUAGGGGUGAAAUCCUAUAAUCCUGGGAGGACCACCAGUGGCGAAGGCGGUCGACUAGAACGUGCCUGACGGUGAUGGACGAAAGCUGGGGGAGCGAACCGGAUUAGACACCCGGGUAGUCCCAGCUGUAAACGAUGCGAGCUAGGUGUUGGAGCAACUACGGGUUGCUCCAGUGCCGCAGAGAAGUUGUUAAGCUCGCCGCCUGGGAAGUACGGCCGCAAGGCUGAAACUUAAAGGAAUUGACGG